GAUGAACGCUGGCGGCGUGCCUAAUACAUGCAAGUCGAGCGAACCGACGAGGAGCUUGCUCCUUUGACGUUAGCGGCGGACGGGUGAGUAACACGUAGGUAACCUACCUAUAAGACUGGGAUAACUUCGGGAAACCGGAGCUAAUACCGGAUAAUAUUUCGAACCGCAUGGUUCGAUAGUGAAAGAUGGCUUUGCUAUCACUUAUAGAUGGACCUGCGCCGUAUUAGCUAGUUGGUAAGGUAACGGCUUACCAAGGCAACGAUACGUAGCCGACCUGAGAGGGUGAUCGGCCACACUGGAACUGAGACACGGUCCAGACUCCUACGGGAGGCAGCAGUAGGGAAUCUUCCGCAAUGGGCGAAAGCCUGACGGAGCAACGCCGCGUGAGUGAUGAAGGUCUUCGGAUCGUAAAACUCUGUUAUUAGGGAAGAACAAACGUGUAAGUAACUGUGCACGUCUUGACGGUACCUAAUCAGAAAGCCACGGCUAACUACGUG
This 497-nucleotide ribosomal RNA is filed under the name uncultured bacterium. Its description in RNAcentral is "partial 16S ribosomal RNA". It matches the Rfam family "Bacterial small subunit ribosomal RNA", at positions 28 to 507 of the family's 1533-position model. The record is from RNAcentral.